UCUAUGGUGCCUGAUUAAAAGGAUAGUCUUGAUAGGACUAAUUAUGUAACCCCUAACUUUACCCAUAUUA
RNAcentral lists this transfer RNA (70 nucleotides) under Polycheles typhlops. RNAcentral describes it as "tRNA-Ile". Lineage: Eukaryota; Metazoa; Arthropoda; Malacostraca; Decapoda; Polychelidae. The record is from RNAcentral.